RNAcentral lists this long non-coding RNA (1899 nucleotides) under Triticum aestivum (bread wheat). RNAcentral describes it as "long non-coding RNA (TAES_LNC004851)". The record is from RNAcentral. Lineage: Eukaryota; Viridiplantae; Streptophyta; Magnoliopsida; Poales; Poaceae.
CGCCGCUAGUGGCACCAUCCUUGCCCGACGAGCUUCUCGAGGAGAUCUUCCUCCGCUUCCCGCCGGAUGAGCCCUCAUUCCUCGUGCGCGCCUCACUUGCAAGUAAGCUCUGGUUCGGCCUUCUCACUAGCCCUAACUUCCAGAGCCGCUAUCGAGAGUUCCAUGGAGCUCUCCCCAUGUUGGGAUUCUUUUGUAAUCGGAUCGACACCUCCGACUCGGAUGAGGAGGAGGAAGAACCUGUAUCACACUUUGUUCCCACCAUGACAUCCGGCUCAUGCAUAUCCAAGGACGACUGGAUCGAUUCGAAGUAUGAUGUAUGGGAUUGCCGACAUGGUCAUGUUCUAUUUGGGGAAAAGGGUCGGAGAUCCACGAAGUUCAUCGUUCAGAACCCCAUGACGUCCCGCUGGACGGAGGUGCACACACCCAAAAGAUACAUGGUGGCCGAUAACCGUGUAGCCGCUGUGCUUUGUGCUAUGACCGGAUGUGACCACCGCCAGUGUCAUGAGGGCCCAUUCCGAUUGGUAUUUGCCUACUUGUAUGUGGGAGAGGGCGAGGACGAGGAUGAUUGUGUUGCAUACGCGGGUGUGUCCCUGCCAGAGAUGUGCAAUUGGAGCAAUCCAUGCUCUAAAUUUAUGAGCAAGCCAUGCUCUGAACCAUGGAGCAAGCGGUGGAGAGAUUCCUCUGGUCUUCAUGUUCCAUUUGGGGCAUGCAUCGAAUCAACCCCCCAGUCCUCAUCGAAGACUCACUCUACUUCAUACUUUCAUAUUAUGUUGAUGUUUGCAUAGGAAUUCUCAAGUACGACUUGAGCUCUAAUUGCUUAUCACUGCUUGAUGGGCCGCAAGUGGAGGAUGUCUUUGUCGGUGCGACCAUACUCAUGGCCACGGAGGACGACAGUUUGGGUCUUGCACACAUGGAUAGAUUAACCCUCUACUUGUGGUCAAGACAGAUGGGUUCCAAUGGAGUUGCAUCAUGGACUCAACGAACAAUCAUCGACCUCAAAAACCUUCUCCCCGUUCGAAAUCCUGAGAGAAGACCUAGACUAAUUGGAUCUGUGGAGGGCAGUGAUAUCCUUUUUGUGACUGUAGACCUUGGCGUCUAUGAGAUUAAUCUCAAUUCACUAAGGUGGAAGACCAUAUGGAAGACUGGAAGUUUACGUGCUUUGUUUCCAUACAUGAGUUUUUACAAUCCAAAAGGUACAUCUAUACCUAUAUGUCCUUUCUUAUGUGGUUUGUGAUCUAAUCUUAAGUCAUAAUAUAUAAGUUAGCGGAACAAACAAACCAUUGAAUGUCUAAUCUCAACUUUGAGUGUGAUGUAACACUCGAAGGUUGCAACUAAUUAUCCUUACUAAAUUGGAAAAUUUGCAUAUUAGCAUGGCAUAUCCUUUUUGGAAUCACAUCCACAAAUAUGUUUGCAGAAAGGGAGAUCCCCAGUGAUGUGACACAUUGACAAUCUAUGUUUGCAGAAAGGGAGGAUACUAAAUAAGGUUAAGGGCAGGCUGCCGCUUUCAUCAACGGGAAAGAUGAACGGACCACUUGGGAGUUGGAGGUGACAUGGGUCCUGUGAUCAAUCCUCUUGGGGUAGCUAUUGUAGUGCUGCUUGUUUUCUCAUCAUCUUGUUGCUUGAUAAUUUCCCUAUGUUGCUGGCAUGUGUAAGUGGGUGAACGAAUUAUCUUGUAAUGAACCUCUAGUUUCUUGCAGUAGCAUCAACCAUAGUUUGAUUAGUUUGUUAUUUUAAAAACUAUAUAGUUUGCUUAGUUUUCUACGUGACUCACAUCUCAAUUAAUAUUGUGAAUUCAGCUAUUGGUACAUGUCAAGUGCUGAUGUUACCAUAAUUAUAUUAGAACUACUGGAUGUUUGAUCAGAGAGUGCAAAGGCUACAAUGAUAAUUGCUACAACUAAC